This 68-nucleotide transfer RNA is filed under the name Ictidomys tridecemlineatus (thirteen-lined ground squirrel). RNAcentral's name for it is "Spermophilus tridecemlineatus (thirteen-lined ground squirrel) tRNA". It matches the Rfam family "tRNA". From Rfam's summary of the family: Transfer RNA (tRNA) molecules are approximately 80 nucleotides in length. Their secondary structure includes four short double-helical elements and three loops (D, anti-codon, and T loops). Further hydrogen bonds mediate the characteristic L-shaped molecular structure. tRNAs have two regions of fundamental functional importance: the anti-codon, which is responsible for specific mRNA codon recognition, and the 3' end, to which the tRNAs corresponding amino acid is attached (by aminoacyl-tRNA synthetases). tRNAs cope with the degeneracy of the genetic code in two manners: having more than one tRNA (with a specific anti-codon) for a particular amino acid; and 'wobble' base-pairing, i.e. permitting non-standard base-pairing at the 3rd anti-codon position. Lineage: Eukaryota; Metazoa; Chordata; Mammalia; Rodentia; Sciuridae. The record is from Rfam by way of RNAcentral.
GGGGUUGUGGCUCAGUGGUAGAGCGCUUGCCUGGCACGUGCAAGCCCUGGGUUCAAUACCCAGCACCA